RNAcentral lists this ribosomal RNA (260 nucleotides) under uncultured bacterium. RNAcentral describes it as "partial 16S ribosomal RNA". It matches the Rfam family "Bacterial small subunit ribosomal RNA", at positions 793 to 1055 of the family's 1533-position model. The record is from RNAcentral.
GUCCACGCUGUAAACGAUGAACACUUGUUGUUGGAGGUAUUGACCCCUUCAGUGACGAAGCUAACGCGUUAAGUGUUCCGCCUGGGGAGUACGGUCGCAAGAUUAAAACUCAAAGAAAUUGACGGGGGCCCGCACAAGCGGUGGAGCAUGUGGUUUAAUUCGAUGCAACGCGAAAACCUUACCUGGGCUCGAAAUGUACGGGAAGUAAGCAGAGAUGUUUACGUCUUCGGACCCGUAUAUAGGUGCUGCAUGGCUGUCGU